GAUGAACGCUGGCGGCGUGCCUAAUACAUGCAAGUAGAACGCUGAAGCUUGGUGCUUGCACCGAGCGGAUGAGUUGCGAACGGGUGAGUAACGCGUAGGUAACCUGCCUCUUAGCGGGGGAUAACUAUUGGAAACGAUAGCUAAUACCGCAUAAAAGUCGAUAUCGCAUGAUGUUGACUUGAAAGGUGCAAUUGCAUCACUAAGAGAUGGACCUGCGUUGUAUUAGCUAGUUGGUGAGGUAACGGCUCACCAAGGCGACGAUACAUAGCCGACCUGAGAGGGUGAUCGGCCACACUGGGACUGAGACACGGCCCAGACUCCUACGGGAGGCAGCAGUAGGGAAUCUUCGGCAAUGGGGGCAACCCUGACCGAGCAACGCCGCGUGAGUGAAGAAGGUUUUCGGAUCGUAAAGCUCUGUUGUAAGAGAAGAACGAGUGUGAGAGUGGAAAGUUCACACUGUGACGGUAACUUACCAGAAAGGGACGGCUAACUACGUGCCAGCAGCCGCGGUAAUACGUAGGUCCCGAGCGUUAUCCGGAUUUAUUGGGCGUAAAGCGAGCGCAGGCGGUUAGAUAAGUCUGAAGUUAAAGGCUGUGGCUUAACCAUAGUACGCUUUGGAAACUGUUUAACUUGAGUGCAGAAGGGGAGAGUGGAAUUCCAUGUGUAGCGGUGAAAUGCGUAGAUAUAUGGAGGAACACCGGUGGCGAAAGCGGCUCUUUGGUCUGUAACUGACGCUGAGGCUCGAAAGCGUGGGGAGCAAACAGG
This 765-nucleotide ribosomal RNA is filed under the name uncultured Streptococcus sp. RNAcentral's name for it is "bacterial SSU rRNA". It matches the Rfam family "Bacterial small subunit ribosomal RNA", at positions 28 to 776 of the family's 1533-position model. The record is from RNAcentral. Lineage: Bacteria; Bacillati; Bacillota; Bacilli; Lactobacillales; Streptococcaceae.